GGCUGGUCCGAAGGUAGUGAGUUAUCUCGAUUGUUCACAGUCAGUGACAGAUCGAACUCCUUGUUCUACUCUUUCCCCACUUCUCACUACUGCACUUGACCAGUCUUAA
Molecule: Y RNA, 109 nt
Organism: Callithrix jacchus (white-tufted-ear marmoset)
Lineage: Eukaryota; Metazoa; Chordata; Mammalia; Primates; Cebidae
Rfam family: Y RNA
About the family: Y RNAs are components of the Ro ribonucleoprotein particle (Ro RNP), in association with Ro60 and La proteins. The Y RNAs and Ro60 and La proteins are well conserved, but the function of the Ro RNP is not known.
Source: Ensembl